Molecule: ribosomal RNA, 474 nt
Filed under: uncultured bacterium
Lineage: Bacteria
Description: SSU rRNA
Rfam family: Bacterial small subunit ribosomal RNA
Source: RNAcentral
AGGACGAACGCUGGCGGCGUGCUUAACACAUGCAAGUCGAGCGGAAAGGCCCUUCGGGGUACUCGAGCGGCGAACGGGUGAGUAACACGUGAGUAACCUGCCCCCUACUUUGGGAUAACCCUCGGAAACGGGGGCUAAUACCGGAUAUGACCGCUGGUGGCAUCACUGGUGGUGGAAAGUUUUUCGGUGGGGGAUGGGCUCGCGGCCUAUCAGCUUGUUGGUGGGGUAAUGGCCUACCAAGGCGACGACGGGUAGCCGGCCUGAGAGGGCGACCGGCCACACUGGGACUGAGACACGGCCCAGACUCCUACGGGAGGCAGCAGUGGGGAAUAUUGCACAAUGGGCGGAAGCCUGAUGCAGCGACGCCGCGUGAGGGAUGAAGGCCUUCGGGUUGUAAACCUCUUUCAGCAGGGACGAAGCGCAAGUGACGGUACCUGCAGAAGAAGCACCGGCCAACUACGUGCCAGCAGCCGC